AACCUUCCUAGGGGUACGGAACAACUCAGGGAAACUUGAGCUAAUACCGUAUACGUCCGUAAGGAGAAAGAUUCAUCGCCCCUAGACGGGCCCGCGUAGGAUUAGGUAGUUGGUGAGGUAACGGCUCACCAAGCCUACGAUCCUUAGCUGAUCUGAGAGGAUGAUCAGCCACACUGGGACUGAGACACGGCCCAGACUCCUACGGGAGGCAGCAGUGGGGAAUCUUGGACAAUGGGCGCAAGCCUGAUCCAGCCAUGCCGCGUGAGUGAAGAAGGCCUUCGGGUUGUAAAGCUCUUUUACCAGGGACGAUAAUGACGGUACCUGGAGAAUAAGCCCCGGCAAACUUCGUGCCAGCAGCCGCGGUAAUACGAAGGGGGCUAGCGUUGUUCGGAAUUACUGGGCGUAAAGCGCACGUAGGCGGAUUGUUAAGUCAGAGGUGAAAUCCCGGAGCCCAACUUCGGAAUUGCCUUUGAUACUGGCAAUCUAGAGUCCGGAAGAGGUUAGUGGAAUUCCCAGUGUAGAGGUGAAAUUCGUAGAUAUUGGGAAGAACACCAGUGGCGAAGGCGGCUAACUGGUCCGGUACUGACGCUGAGGUGCGAAAGCGUGGGGAGCAGACAGGAUUAGAUACCCUGGUAGUCCACGCCGUAAACUAUGGG
Molecule: ribosomal RNA, 656 nt
Filed under: uncultured bacterium
Lineage: Bacteria
Description: bacterial SSU rRNA
Rfam family: Bacterial small subunit ribosomal RNA
Source: RNAcentral